UACAGAGACUGCAAGCGUUAUUCGGAUUCACUGGGCGUAAAGGGUGCGCAGGCGGCCAAGUGCGUCAGGUGUGAAAUCCCGAGGCUUAACCUCGGAACUGCGCCUGAAACUACUUGGCUAGAGUACUGGAGAGGGUAACGGAAUUCACGGUGUAGCAGUGAAAUGCGUAGAUAUCGUGAGGAACACCAGAGGCGAAGGCGGUUACCUGGACAGUUACUGACGCUCAGGCACGAAAGCGUGGGGAGCAAAAGGG
This 253-nucleotide ribosomal RNA is filed under the name uncultured bacterium. RNAcentral's name for it is "partial 16S ribosomal RNA". It matches the Rfam family "Bacterial small subunit ribosomal RNA", at positions 524 to 776 of the family's 1533-position model. The record is from RNAcentral.